RNAcentral lists this ribosomal RNA (1020 nucleotides) under Triticum aestivum (bread wheat). RNAcentral describes it as "partial small subunit ribosomal RNA". Lineage: Eukaryota; Viridiplantae; Streptophyta; Magnoliopsida; Poales; Poaceae. The record is from RNAcentral.
AUGGCCGCCUCUGCCUCUUGCCUUUCUCUUGUGGUGCUCGUGGCUCUGGCCACGGCGGCGUCGGCGCAGCUGUCACCGACCUUCUACGACACGUCCUGCCCCAGGGCCCUGGCCAUCAUCAAGAGUGGCGUCAUGGCCGCCGUGAGCAGCGACCCUCGGAUGGGCGCGUCGCUGCUCCGGCUGCACUUCCACGACUGCUUCGUCCAAGGCUGCGACGCGUCUGUUUUGCUGUCUGGCAUGGAACAAAAUGCUAUCCCGAACGCGGGGUCGCUGAGGGGCUUCGGCGUCAUCGACAGCAUCAAGACGCAGAUCGAGGCCAUCUGCAAUCAGACCGUCUCCUGCGCCGACAUCCUCACCGUCGCCGCCCGUGACUCCGUUGUAGCCGUAAGAAUGUCAUCUAACGAUCAUGCACAUCAUCGAUUGGAUGCCAUCGUUAACCGUUUGCUUCGUAUCCUUGGCGUGCAGCUCGGAGGGCCGUCAUGGACAGUCCCUCUGGGGAGAAGAGAUUCCACAGAUGCAAACGAGGCGGCGGCAAACAGCGACCUGCCAGGCUUUACAUCUAGCCGGUCAGAUCUUGAGCUGGCAUUCAGAAACAAGGGCCUCCUUACGAUCGACAUGGUGGCCCUCUCGGGCGCGCACACCAUCGGCCAGGCGCAGUGUGGGACCUUUAAGGACAGGAUCUACAAUGAGACUAACAUCGACACGGCCUUCGCCACAUCUCUCCGGGCCAACUGCCCCAGGUCAAACGGCGACGGGAGCCUGGCGAACCUGGACACGACGACGGCCAACACGUUCGAUAACGCCUACUACACCAACCUCAUGUCACAGAAGGGGCUCCUGCACUCGGACCAGGUGCUGUUCAACAACGACACCACCGACAACACUGUCCGGAACUUUGCGUCGAACCCAGCGGCGUUCAGCAGCGCCUUCACGACCGCCAUGAUCAAGAUGGGCAACAUCGCGCCGAAGACAGGCACGCAGGGGCAGAUCAGGCUCAGCUGCUCCAGGGUGAACUCGUGA